Molecule: ribosomal RNA, 446 nt
Filed under: uncultured bacterium
Lineage: Bacteria
Description: SSU rRNA
Rfam family: Bacterial small subunit ribosomal RNA
Source: RNAcentral
AGAACGAACGCUGGCGGCAGGCUUAACACAUGCAAGUCGAACGCGUGUAGCAAUACGGGAGUGGCAGACGGGUGAGUAACGCGUGGGAACAUACCCUCCGGUUCGGAAUAGCUCAGGGAAACUUGGAUUAAUACCGGAUACGGCUGAGAGGCGAAAGAUUUAUCGCCGGAGGAUUGGCCCGCGUUCGAUUAGCUUGUUGGUGAGGUAACGGCUCACCAAGGCGAUGAUCGAUAGCUGGUCUGAGAGGAUGAUCAGCCACACUGGGACUGAGACACGGCCCAGACUCCUACGGGAGGCAGCAGUGGGGAAUAUUGGACAAUGGGGGCAACCCUGAUCCAGCAAUGCCGCGUGAGUGAUGACGGCCUUAGGGUUGUAAAGCUCUUUCGCUCGGGACGAUAAUGACGGUACCGAGAUAAGAGCCCGGCUAACUUCGUGCCAGCAGCCGC